This 2334-nucleotide long non-coding RNA is filed under the name Homo sapiens (human). RNAcentral describes it as "HSALNT0018505". Lineage: Eukaryota; Metazoa; Chordata; Mammalia; Primates; Hominidae. The record is from RNAcentral.
GCUCAGCAACCUCGCGGCGCGGAAGGGUUUCGUUGCUAGGGAGAUGGGCUGAGCCGGGCGGGCAUCGCGCCAGACCUGCUACUCUGGAUAAUCCACUCUCCUGGAUAAUCCACUACCCUGGAUAAUCGGCUGCCCGCUUUUGCGCAUGUUAGGGAGUUGACGGCCUGUAGCAUUCUGAUGCAGCAAAAUAUUUCGCAGGGUCUGUCAUAGGGAUCUCCGGUGAGAGGAGGUUCCCUUCGAAGGCAGAACUGGAAACCUUGCUGCUAACUUGGUAGGGUUGUUGAGAUAAUUACAUGAGAUGGCAUAUGAAGGGCGGCUUAGUUCAAUACCUGGCAUGUAGUAGGUGUUCAGUGGGCGUAGUUACCGGAUUGAUUCAGAUAGUCUGAACGCCAGUGUCUCUUGAAAGAAAUAAACUGGCCGGGCGUGGUGACUGUAAUCCCAGCACUUUGGGAGGCCGAGGUGGGCGAAUCACUUGGGGUCAGGAGUUUGAGACCAGCCUGGCCAGCGUGGUGAAACCCCGUUUCUACUAAAAAAAAAAAAAAAAAUACAAAAAUUAGCCGGGCAUGGGGGCGGGCGCCUGCAAUCCCAGCUGCUUGGGUGGCUGGGCGGGCUCCUGCAAUCCCAGCUACUCGGGAGGCUGAGGCAGGAGAAUCGCUUGAACCCCGGGGUCGGGGGCGGAGGCGGAGGUUGCAGUGGGCCGAGAUCACGCCAUUUUCUGGGCGAGAGAGCGAGACUCCGUCUCAAAAAAAAAAAAAAAAACCAUGAAAGAAAUAAGCUCAGUGAAGGCGGGCAUUCUGCCUGGCUAACGCAGGUCGCUCCUUGCCGUGCCUGGAACAUUACUGUAAGUGCUCAGCAAACUACUUUAAGGGUGUUGAAAGCAGCAGGGGCCUAGAAGACAUUAAACCGAUACCACAGAAAUACAAAGGAUCAUUAGAGACUAUUAUGAACAACUAUAUGCCAACAAAUUGGAAACCAAAUGGAAAUGGAUAAAUUCCUGAACAGAUACAACUUACCAAAAUUGGACCAAGAAGAAAUAGAAAACCUGAAAAGACCAACUAUGAGUAAUGAGAUUAAAUCAGUAAUAUAGAGUCUCCCAUCAAAGAAAAGUCCAGGCCCUGAUGGCUUCACUGCUGAAUUCUACUGAACAGUUAAAGAAGAACUCAUACCAGUUCUCAAACUCAUCCUGUGAGGGCAGCAUUACCCUGAUACCAAAACUAGAUAUGGACACAAGAAAAAAAAUCUAUAGGCCAGUAUCCCUGAUGAACAUAGAUGCAAGAAUCCUCAACAAGACCAGGUGUGGUGGUUCAUGCCUGUAAUCCCAGCACUUUGGGAGGCCAAGGCAGGUGGAUCACCUGAGGUCAGGAAUUUGAGACCAGCCUGGCCAACAUGGCAAAACCCUGUCUGUACUAAAAAUACAAAAAUUAGCCGGGCAAGGUGGCGUGUGCCUGUAAUCCUAGCUACUUGGGAGGCUGAGGCAGGAGAAUUGCUUGAACCUGGAGGGAGGAGGGGCAGAAGUUGCAGCGAGCUCAGAUCGUCCCACUGCACUCCAGCCUGGGUGACAGAGUGAGACUCCAUCUCAAAAUAAGUAAAUAAAUAAAGAGACUCAACUAGCAUAAAUGAAUUGCAAGUGUUUUAUAGUAUAUAAUGAGCACAACAAAAGUAUCAAUAUAUUACAUGGAAAUACAUUUUUCAAAGCUGGAUCUUUAGCUUCCAAGGAUUAAGGAGAAUUUUGUUACUGAGUUGGUUCUUAAUUUAGGCUCUGCACCUGAGACCUAGAGUCCCCUGGGAUUUGGGUCCGAGGACUGGCAUUACCUUUGUAGGUGGCUCUUGGCAACUAGCACUGUCUAAGAUCUUAACAUUUGCAAAUGAAGCCUUAAAACAUGUCCCAAAAGUAUGGAAAGUGGGCCGAUUUCAACACAACCAUUACCUGUUCCUGGUAGCUGACCAACUAGGAGAUUUCAGAGGUCAAGUGGGACAGAGCAGGGUAGGGAAUUUUUUUUUAAGCUUUAUUAUAAAACAGGUAACUUUGUCCCUAUCUUAAGAAUUUGGAACUGAGGCUAUAGGUCACUCAAUGAUCAAAUAAUGAAAGGUCUGCUUCAACUGGACUACUUAAUAUUUCACAUUUACCUUUUUGACUAGAAAUAACUGAUGAAAGUUCACUUAGUUUGGUGGGAAAUAAGAGAUACAAAGAUAUCUUCUCCAGGAUGAGACUCCCAAAAGCAAAUGUUCUCUGAGUACCUCUGUCGCUCAAAUUUAAGCCCUUUGGAGUUCCUUUGAGCAUGGUUCUGCCCUCAUAUUUCUGAUCACUCCCUCUAGACUCCUACUCAACUUCUC